This 362-nucleotide unclassified non-coding RNA is filed under the name uncultured fungus. RNAcentral's name for it is "partial contains small subunit ribosomal RNA, internal transcribed spacer 1, and 5.8S ribosomal RNA". The stretch from base 1 to 73 matches the Rfam family "Eukaryotic small subunit ribosomal RNA", at positions 1759 to 1831 of the family's 1831-position model. The record is from RNAcentral. Lineage: Eukaryota; Fungi.
GCAAACUUGGUCAUUUAGAGGAAGUAAAAGUCGUAACAAGGUUUCCGUAGGUGAACCUGCGGAAGGAUCAUUAUUGAAUAUUAAACUUGGUUUAGAUUGUUGCUAUCCUAUGGUAGCACGUCUACUCCAUUUUUAUAUCAACACUUUCUCCUGUGCAUCUAAGUAUAGGUCUGAAUACUUUUCGAGUAGACAAACUUGAAUCUGAGGAAUUGCUGUGUUAAAUGCCAGCUUUUCUUUGCUUUUCAGAUCUAUAUCAAUUUUAUAUAUACACCGUUCAAUAAGUAUUAGAAAUAUGCAAUCAGUAUACAAAUACAACUUUCAACAAUGGAUCUCUUGGCUCUUGCAUCGAUGAAGAACGCAGC